RNAcentral lists this ribosomal RNA (497 nucleotides) under uncultured bacterium. Its description in RNAcentral is "partial 16S ribosomal RNA". It matches the Rfam family "Bacterial small subunit ribosomal RNA", at positions 28 to 507 of the family's 1533-position model. The record is from RNAcentral.
GAUGAACGCUGGCGGCGUGCCUAAUACAUGCAAGUCGAGCGAACAGACGAGGAGCUUGCUCCUCUGACGUUAGCGGCGGACGGGUGAGUAACACGUGGAUAACCUACCUAUAAGACUGGGAUAACUUCGGGAAACCGGAGCUAAUACCGGAUAAUAUAUUGAACCGCAUGGUUCAAUAGUGAAAGACGGUUUUGCUGUCACUUAUAGAUGGAUCCGCGCCGCAUUAGCUAGUUGGUAAGGUAACGGCUUACCAAGGCAACGAUGCGUAGCCGACCUGAGAGGGUGAUCGGCCACACUGGAACUGAGACACGGUACAGACUCCUACGGGAGGCAGCAGUAGGGAAUCGUCCGCAAAGGGCGAAAGCCUGACGGAGCAACGCCGCGUGAGUGAUGAAGGUCUUCGGAUCGUAAAACUCUGUUAUUAGGGAAGAACAAAUGUGUAAGUAACUAUGCACGUCUUGACGGUACCUAAUCAGAAAGCCACGGCUAACUACGUG